AUUGAACGCUGGCGGCAUGCUUUACACAUGCAAGUCGAACGGCAGCGCGGGCUUCGGCCUGGCGGCGAGUGGCGAACGGGUGAGUAAUGCAUCGGAACGUGCCCAGUAUUGGGGGAUAGCCCGGCGAAAGCCGGAUUAAUACCGCAUACGACCUGAGGGUGAAAGCGGGGGACCGAAAGGCCUCGCGCUAUUGGAUGGGCCGAUGUCGGAUUAGCUAGUUGGUGGGGUAAAGGCUUACCAAGGCGACGAUCCGUAGCUGGUCUGAGAGGACGACCAGCCACACUGGGACUGAGACACGGCCCAGAGUCCUACGGGAGGCAGCAGUGGGGAAUUUUGGAAAAUGGGGGGAACCCUGAUCCAGCCGUGCCGCGUGCGGGAAGAAGGGCUUCGGGUUGUAAACCGCUUUUGUUCGGGAAGAAAGCCUCUGGGCUAAUACAAGGGGGGGAUGACGGUACCGGAAGAAUAAGCACCGGCUAACUACGUG
Molecule: ribosomal RNA, 484 nt
Filed under: uncultured bacterium
Lineage: Bacteria
Description: partial 16S ribosomal RNA
Rfam family: Bacterial small subunit ribosomal RNA
Source: RNAcentral